Molecule: long non-coding RNA, 19058 nt
Filed under: Xyrichtys novacula (pearly razorfish)
Lineage: Eukaryota; Metazoa; Chordata; Actinopteri; Labriformes; Labridae
Source: RNAcentral
CAGAUAAAUACUUCAGAAAAUUACAAAUGAGGCCCAGUCAACGUGAAAGUAAACAGCAUUGGUGCUACUGUAGAUGCCAACAGACUACCAGCAAACACAAUGUUUGCAGGACUUCUACAACUAGGAUAAAGUGACAUAGUCCAGGACCCGAGGUCAACAGUUUAGCAGCACUACAACACGCAGCAGGUCCUGUUUGACAAGAAACACUUUUGUUACAGACACUUGGCUUACUUUGUUAAAGCGGUUGGCGAUCGUGGCUAAAGGAAGAUUUUCUGUACUUUCUGAUUGGUUUCUACUGAUAUUGUAGCACGUUAACUUUGUUUGGGCUCGUGAACGACACGGGGGAGCAGCAUCUGCCUAACAACCAAUCAGCACAAAGGAGCAGCAUCCACCUCACAACCAAUCUGGCUGGGGGAGGUGGGUAAAGGCUUUGUUUACCGUUAGAAAGAGCGGGCCGCUCAAAAAUUUAAAAAUGUUGACUACACAGACAUAACAAAACACAGCGAUAUUAUUGUAUUCCCAAAUUUCAUCAAUAACUAAUAGCUAUUGACUGAUAUUAAAGCUUUUUUGUAUACACCACAAAAAAGACGCUUCUUUAACAAAAUCCUGCCUACCCCACCUUUUAAUGCUUUUGGUGCCUGCGUCAAGUGGCCACUCAAGGAACUGCACGUGGUUAGUCAGUAAGCCUGCUAGUCUGAGGGGGUCAGAGUGUACGCACUAUAGUAGACCAGUAAAAGUAGACUGCACCCUGUUUUUCCCCAGUGUUUGUGUUCAUACACUUUAUGUUGUAAAGUCAGAAAAGAGUUAUCUGGAGAUUGAUGAGUUUAAUUUUUACAGUUCUCCUAAAGGACCAAAUGGAACCUGGAAAAAAAAAUGUUUUUGCUUUCAGUGUGAUGAUAACAUGCUUUUUUUUGGUUCAGGGACUUCUGAAUCAGAGCCAGACUCCCUUAAUAAUAACACAGUUUUAUAAGCUGUGCAACUUUGAUAAACAUCGUAAAAUGCCGUACAUAGCAAUUAUCAGUUGUUUGCUCCUCUCUUGUGAAUUUGGCAUAUGUUCAAGUGUUUUUAAGUGCACACGUAUUAGGAUAAUUACAGGAAACUCUCCGACUCUGGUGCUAGUUUUGUCCUGUUUUGAUUCCCUUAUCCUAACAGAAGUAUUAAUUAUCUUUUCUGAAACUGGCUGGGAAAUGCAGUGGAGUCCUCACAGUCAGAGGGUUCAAAGGAGUUCAAGUCUGCACUUAUUUAUAACUCGAAUCAAGCUGAACUCAGAUUACUCAGACAGUUUCACUUAUGUAAAACGGCUUAGUGAUGUCAGGGUGUUUGUAUCUUCUUUAUUAAUUUUAUUCUAUUUUUUAAGCUCCACACCACCCAUCCCCAACUCAUCUACACUUCAUCAGGAUUAGCCAAUGAUCCUGAUAUUAAAGCCGGGUUCUCACACUGAGACAGGAGGUCUUCUAAUCUGUCCAAUCAAAUUCUCUUCCUAAUGAGAAUGACAAAAACAUGAGUGUUUAACGAGUUAUUAUGGGAGCAUGUAAACAGAGAGAUGACUGUGUGUCCUCCUGUGUGACGAGUGGGAGAGAAACCACAGUUUUCCUUUUUGUCCAAAUAAUGGAAAAAGGGAUUUGCCCUGUUCUGGGUGCAGAAAAAGAGCAGUGUAUGUGUGUGUGUGUGUGUGCUCAGUUGUUCUGUGAAGCAUACACAGUGGAAACGACAAGGUGUAAAGAUGUGCACACACACACACACACACACACGCAAGCACACAAGCACAAACAGACAGGUCAGUCUGUGUUUGGUCUGCUGAAACAGGGGAGAGAACAGCUUGUCCAGUGUGUGUGUGUACAUGUAUGUGUGUGUGUUUGUGUUAGUGAGCCAGAUCUGGGAGUCCUCUCCUCUUAACCUUUCCACUACAGGUUCUACUUUUGGUCCAGGCCGUGCUAAGCGCCUGGGAUAAUGUUCUGCUCUUUUAAUUGUGCUUUUAGUGAGAUGUGUGAAGGUCUUUUGAUACUGCCAUUGCGCUUAUGAAAGUCAGUUCUUUUCUCCUGUCAAUGCCCUAUUGUACCUCCCCCUCUCAGAAGAACAGAGUGUUGUGGUCUGGGAGACUGUGCUGAAAUUCAUAUUGCAAUAUGAAAAAAAAAUAUGUCAUGGCUGAUUAAAUCUGUUUCCUCCUGUGAGAACUUUAUGUACAGUAAAUCAGCUGCCGACUGAUGAGACAAAUACUGAGGACGAUCUGUCCUUGAUUGAUGUAGGUAAACAAAUUCUCAGGCAUGAGCGCAUAAUGUAAUGUUCCUCUUUUUAUCAUGCUUUAGUGGUUAAAUAAUAUCAGAGCACGGCUGUUAAACUGUGAAUUUCUUUAACUAUACUGACAAUGUAAAGCAGCUCUUGAGAACCAAAAGACUGCAGUUUCGUGUAGAUUUUGAGCAUGACUAAGAUUUAUUAUUCACAGCUGCACCAGUGUGUUCUGACACCAUGACUCACUGUAAAGGUAGAAAACAGCUUCAAAGUGCAUACUAGGGCCUGACUGAUAUGGAUUUUUUGGGGCCGAUGCAGAUACCGAUUAUUGGGGGGGGGGGGGGGGGGAUCUAAUUACGAUUAAUCAGACGAUUUUUAAAAAAAUUUAUGAAUUUAUAAAAAAUCAUAGCUACUGCUCCUCACGCCGACAGGAAGACCGACUGAUCAAACUCGGACCAGAAAAGCGUUUUCAACUCCCCUCCCCGACGAUCGGUGCCUCCGCAUCUUAACUCACGUUACUCAUUUCCGGUCUCAUCUGGAGACAUGCAGCUGCCUCAGUAAGAGAGGUAGCUCGAUCAAUGUGUACUGUUGUUUAUUCUACCGUUACUCGCAUGGCUAACAGUGUAGCAAGGCUAAUAGCAGAUGGCUAACCCUAACUUUAGCUUGCAUAUUACAUGGCGCUUCACUCGGCGAGACCGAGAACAGCACAGUGGGGAACAUCGUGAAGUGGGUUGAACUGAAACUUGUUGACUUAUUGUGUAUUUCACAAACUAGUUUAUUUACCGUCGAGGCGGACCACUCUACUCCGUGUGUCCCUGCUUCAGAUCCGUCACUCUGCUGUGCUGUGCAAUUAGUCUCAAACGGGCUAAAAUUGGCUGAUUUAAUCGCUCGCCGAAAAAACAGUCAUGUUUACAAAGUGUUGUUAUAAAGGGCUUGAUAAAUAAUGAACAUUUACAUUUACAGUUACAUUUAUUCAAAAUAAGAAAAACUGAAAUUAUUUAUGUAACAAGGUGAAAAUAAACAGUUUUAACAAACUUCAUCAAUUUCUAUUCAUAUCAUAUUUUCUUGCCCUCCACUAGACCACACCAGUAAUGGAAAAAAUAUGAUAGUCAUGCGAACUCCUACUUAAAUUGGAUGGAAAAAUUCCUGGAAUAAAAUCUAGUUCUCUGUAAAACCUAAAAAACAUUUAUUAAGCUUUUGUCACGGGCAGGCCAAGUAAAGUGUACAUAAUCAUCUUAGCUUUAAUCAAGAAUAUGCAUACGGCCUCUGAUACUGGUUAAAUAUUUUAUUAAAGCAGCUGUCUGGUCAGCAGGUGUAAAAUAAAUAUCAAACACCCUGUAAUGCAGAUCUGUACUGGGGCAGGUGUGUUCUUGUCUCCAGCUGCACUGAGGGAGAACACAUCUUGGAUAACUCCCAGCUGCUGCUUCUGCGGCUGGCAGAAACUGCAUGUUCGAGGCUAUCUGUUUCCUGUGGAUGUUCCAGUCGCCGCAAUGUCUCACUUAGUCCUUGUUUGAGUAAUAACACCGCUAAAAUGUUGUGUACCUGCUCAUAUAAAAAGCUGGGACGGUUACGCGAUGUGAGUGGGAUGACAGAGUCUCGCAGUGGAUGCCAGAACUUCUGAUAGCUUUUUGACAAAUUUACAGCCUGUCUAAAAAUAAUUUAAAAAAUAAAACACUGGUGCGAAUGAUCAGCAGAAUUUCUGUUUGGACGCAGGAGGUAGAAAGUCGUCCAGGGCAAUUAAUUCACACUCAAAUUAGAGGGAAAACAUGUUCAAAUGAUGGUUUAAGUGCUCACAUGAUCUAAAAACACAGUUUGUGACCACGCAUAUCAUUAUGAUAAUUAACACGAGAUCUCAUUACAUGUAUAGCGCAUAAUUACCUCUCAUCAUGAACGCAGGCCACUUCAUUAAAGACAUGGUACAUCUUGUACGUACAGAAAAGACCACCUUUGCCGUCCCUGCACGCAACCUGUCAAGGCUAUUGUGAGUGAUAUUUGUUCUGUUUUCUACAUUAAUACCAUGAAUAUGAAUGAAUUUCACAAUAUGUACGCGUCCUCGCCAAUUUUAAGCUCAGGUAUAUUGAGAAUACUUUGUGUGCAGGUGUAAUUGCUUGAUUUUAGGCCUUUGUUUAAGCUGUUGAUGCACUUCUGGUGCCUUGAAAGUUAUUAAUAAAAAGGAAUUUAUGAAAUGGUGAAUACCUGAAGUUCAAACUUUUAAAUCAAAUUGUUUGUUCAAGCUUUCUGUGAAGAGGUGAAACAGAAUCAGAAAAAGAAAACCGCCCCUGAAAGGAUCUGUUAUUCCUAUUUCUGACUGAGAUCACGGCUGCAGGGUCGGCGUGGGGUGAGUUUAUUAGAAACCGCUUUUCAGAACAUUUUGAACCGCAAUGUUCCUGAUGAGUGAUACACGGCUGUUAAAAUUAAGGAGGACAUAUUGUUAUUAAAAAAUUCUCUUACACACAAAAAAGGGCUUUAAUUAUUACGUCUCACAAUCAUAAUGGUAGAGACUGCUAUGUCAAGUGUUAAAUGCCAGCAGAUCUCAAAGUGGAAAUAAAAAAAAAAAAUCAACAUCUUUUGGACCUGGGAGUCCAGGACACAUAAUCUACUCUUAAAACUUUGCCGCCCCCCAAGACUCCUGGUGUUUUUCCAGAAUGUGACUGAUGGUAAAAUGCCAUCCACAGUCUAUGAUGUGAUUGUUUACACCCGUGGUGUCAGGCUUGGUGAAAACUGACUGCUGCGCUGCUUACUAAACUCUAAUGGGGCACUCACACCUAGCAUGAGUAAAAUCAUCUACUCGCUUAAUUCGUGCAAAUCUAGACGCAUGAAUGAAAAUUAUUUACUCGCUUCAUUCGCACGUUUAUAGGCGUUUUUAUAGCCAUCUAAUUUCAACGGUAAUCCCUGCCAGUUCAACAGGUGAUAGACAAAGGUUUAUUACAAUUUACCAGGUAAUCCGACCUCCUCACUCAUUUGCCUCCAUGCGAGCGUCACCCGGCAACCUUUGUGCUGAUUAGUUAUUGCGACGGGAAUAUCCGCUCAAGUUGAGACAUUUUCAGCUCUCGCCUAAUUCUCGUCAUUCGCACUGCCAGAGUAGUAAGAGCGUUUAAUCGCGUCACAUGUAAUUUAUUCGCGCAAAUGGUUUUACUUGUGCUUGGUGUGUGUGGAGGCUCAUCAGCCUCAUCUGUAAAAUUUACUAAUACACGGUUGGUGGUUGAUCGGACAAACACGCUCCUUCUAUGUGAUCCAAUUGUGGCUCAUUUUUUAACACUGCUGAUAUGCAAUUCGGUAGCCAAGUGUCGCCAGAUCCACCAGGCCAGUAGUGUUGUCUACUUGGAGUUGAAUUGGGGUUAAGUUCUUCAAGAUACCGAUGCAGACGCACCACGCUAGCCUUUUCACUUGUGCUUCUUUUUGUUGUAUGAACCCUCUUUUGUCCAUUUUUGUAGUAAAACCUUCAACUUUUUAUCUAUUCCAGAAACAUUUGAAGGUCCACAUUGUAGCUGCUGUAAAUAUUUUAUUUUUCAUGAAACAUUUUCCCGAAUGGAAUCACCAAUCGUAAGAGGACUGUAUUUACAUGGCACGUUGCUGUAGAGCAGAAACAUGUUUCUCUUGAUCUCAUCUGUUUUUGUGUCGGAUUAAUCAGUGCUAUUGAUGCCUCUUAUGCUUUCAGGCAUUUCACAAAUGAGAAGUAUUUGGAAAAGCUCAAGGCUGAGUCUCAUGCGAUCGAGAAGUUAUGUAAGGAACGUAGGGGUCUCGAGGUUCCUAGAAAGUAAUGGUUUUAGAAAUAAAAACUGUUUGCCUUUCAGCACUUUACUUUUCUCCCAACCAUUUCCUGCUUCACACAUGUCAGCGUCCAUCUUUUUAAACACUCACAUUCAUGCUGCUUUGCAAAGUGCCCAGCUGCAAAUUAGUCCCAAUCUUGAAUGAAUCACUCACAGUCAUGCUGUCAGGAGUAAUUUGAGGGUCAGACCUCUGGGUUUUGGACACUUUAAAAUACAAUCUACACAUAAUCCAUUGAUUCUGUUUAAUGAAACUUAGCUAUUUCUUAUGGAGACAUGCAGAAGACCAAGCUUUGAAUGCAUCCCUCCUCCUCAGCAGUGUACAGACAGUCCCUGGCAGUAGUUUCCACUCAGGGUCAGACACAGGCUGUAAUAACUGUGAGAGCUCAUCUACCAAGGGCACAUACAGUAAUAUACAGCACAGUGUGUGAUGAUACUUUAUGCCUCUGGAUGGACGGGUACAGUAUGUACAUAAGCUGAUCUCUCGAGAGAUAUUAGAAACACAUACACCAACAAUGGGUCCUGACUUGCGUGGCAGACGUUCAAAGUAAAAAUGUUUUCCUCAUGUCCGAUGGGAAGGUUAUUUGAUUUAGUAGCACAAUAUCACAGUGGGGGCCGGUAUUGCGGUGAAUAGUUAUGUAAUGUUCUUUUCACUUUAUCAGUAAUAACAAGCCAAAAAAAAAAAAGCACCAUAGACGCCACUCUAUUUAUCUUCAAAGCCUGCAAGAAAAUCCACAAAAAAUUGAAGCCAUGCUAAUCACAUCUGAGCGUAUCAUCAAAAGCGCUCCCUGUCAAUCUCCCUGCAUGUAAUCCUCAAAUGUGCUUUUUUUUCCCGCCGUUUCUAAGCAACACAAACCACCUGUUGCCACUGUGACACAAAAAUGCUGAGUGUAGCCUCUGCCAUCUCCUCUCUGGUUAGAUUACACAACAGCAGACACAUUAUAAUGGAGUAACAGAUGUCAUUUAACCGCACAAUUCGAGAGCAGGGUCCAGAGUGGAUGUGGGAGGCCAGUUCCAGUCGGUUUGUGCUGUGUGUGCUUCAUAUUCAUAACAAUAAAAUCAGCCAUAUGUCUGCGCAUACAUACGGACGCGUGGAAAAGGUGUCAACAAGUUGGCCACACUCGAGUCACCGAGGGAGCACUGUUGGUUAAUUCAGAAUUCACCAUCUGUUACUGUCUGCAUACGUCUCAGAGUGGAAACACUGAGUCGGUUUGAGGGAGAAAAGCUUUAAAUCAGUUUUUCUGGAGUGUAAGAAACAAACUGUGUUAAUAAAGGGACUGAGACCAGAAUAUCCGAGCCUCCUCGGCUAACGUUUGGAUUGUGAAGUCCGACUCAAGUCUGGAUUUUUGGGACUAAUGCUUUGACUUGAACUCCAGCACUGAUGACUCAGACUUGUACUCAGACUGAAUGACAUAAUCAGUAAUUUUUUUCUCCUCUGCACUUUGGGGGAAUUUAAAGGUGAGACAAAGUUCAUGAUUUAAUAUCAUACAAUAAAAAAAAAAUUGAAUUUCCCCGUGUGGGAUGAUUAAAGGAAUAUCUUAUAGCACAUUUAGUGGACUUAAACAUAUGCUUUUAUUUCUUCAUGACAUUUUAAAACCAGCUCACCACAGUCAGGUGCAAAUAAAAGAUGCCGCCUUUCGUAAUCAUGAUGACGUGAGUCCGUAAAAUUGACAUUUCAUGACACUAAUUUUGCAAAAGCCUUUAAAAAAUACACAGAAUGAUCUGACUUCUGUGUACCCUCUCAUCUGGAGUCUGGAGUUGAAAAGCCACAACUUUGAAGCUCAAACAGGUUCUUACCUAAAAAGAAGAUCUUAAAAUCGGUUGACGAUACGUCCUCUUUUACCCGAACAUGUCCUCUCUUUUGGGGUUUUUCCGGGGAAGUUUAAAAAUCGUUCAAAUGUCCGCAGUUUUGUAUGCAAGUUUCAAGUUUGCGCAUAAAAAACACUCGAUCCAACCCAAAAAAACUCUCAAAAUUAACUUCGUGCAAGUUUGGGACUCAGCCCCCACGUAGUUGUGUCCUCCUUUUGGGAAGUCAGAAUAUGAUCACCCUAUUUAAAAGAACUUUUUAAACCCCCUUAUUACAUUUCCUAAAUGGUGAGAUUGUUGUGCAAGUACCGUACAUGUCAUAUUUGAUAUCUUUGCAAAGCGGAAAGUGGUGUUCAGGCUUAUUGGUAACAUAGGCUGAAUUUGUUUGCUUAGAUUAUGUAAUUCCUGUUGCACAUCUGAAAUAUAAGUUGCAGAGUUGUACUGUGUUUCCUUUCAAGGACAUUUUUCCAACAUAAUGAAAAUAGCAUGACAGAUAAUAUUCAAUUUAUGAUGUAAUUCCUCACAGAGGAUAUUAGAUUUCUUUUGUGAGUGAAUGUACAUAUUCAUAUUGCAUUUCAUCCCUUGAGAUGCGGUAAUUGUUAAUGUGGGAGAUACAAAUGUCGUGUUCAAGUGAGAUAGAAGGCCGCUUUGCCUCUCGCUAUUCAGCUCCUGACCUCUGCGAUAGACAACAAACUUGAACAGUUGUUUAAGUUUUCUCCUUGUGUAAAUGAAUGAAUGCAGAAAAACACCUUAAUUGGCAGCAUUUAAGCAGGAUACUCUGACGUACAGAUGCAGAAGACUUCCUCAUCCUCCCAGCAACAACCGAUUGCUUUUCUUCUUUUUACCGUUUACCCACAGCUUACACACAGAACAGGCAGGAGUUGUACAGUGUUACUGGGUUUUUGUCAUGCCCAGAUGUUUUUAUGAUCUCCUCUAGGGGGUCAAAAGUUUGCUACAGGGGGUGUAAACAUAAUACAGACAUGGCUUCAACAUGCAACUCAGAUUUGAAGAACAGAGUGGCAUCAAUAGCAUGCUCUUGGACCCAUAAAGCAAAGAUCCAAUAUCUUUGAUAUUGAGGGUUUAAAAUCAUUACGACUACAUGAGUAAUCUUGGAACUCAUCAGCAGUCAUCAUCUGACGUCAAGGAGAUAUAUAUGCCUCUGAGAACUUUUUAGAAAUGACAGUGUAGGCAGAAAUUAUGAAACAACUUCCAGGCAGGACUUUUCUGCACAGGGUGUGAGUCCACAAUGCAAAUGCAGUCAUUUCUUAAAUUACUGCAUCCUGAAGACAGAGCCCACACUUCUGUUUCAAGCACUGAAAAGUUCAACAGACACUUCAGAAAAGGAAGUUACUUCCUCUGGAUUUACUGACAAUUCAUGGGUCGUCAAUUUGACAAAAUACCAUCAUCAUGAUAUAGGUUUAUAGACCAUAGAAAUGCAAACUUUGCUCUUAAGGGGAAAAAUCAAAUCUUUGAUUGUGUUUGUUGAAUGGACGUCGGAUCGAUUGUUUCUGAGUCAGGAGAAGUCGCAGCUCAUGGGCUUUUCCAUCACUGCAUUGACAAGAUUUGUGCCUCAGGUUAAGACUUUUGAUCCAAGGCAGCGUUUGAGCUGCACUUGCAUUAAGAUAUCGGAGGUUAAUAGAAGUUAAUUAAAGCUACAAGCGGCGAUGAAUGGGACCUCUCACCUUUGCACAUGUCGUGGCCUGUAGUAGCAGACUUCGGUUGUGCAGCAGAUUGUGUCUGUGCUGCAUCUGUGAAUUUACAAACAGGUCUGUAGAUCUGUUUGGGUUCGAGACGGUUUCAAUAUUUAAUGCAUAGCCCAAAAAAUGCAGCGAGGUGGCUGCAUGUGUCGGAGCUGGGCAUGAUGCUACACCUGAGUUGACAGUGUUACAGUUAACAAGUCGGAAAACCAAGAUGGACGCCUACAGUUACCAGUUGUUAGCUGUUGUUUACAAUUGUCAGCUGUUGUUGGUCGUUUUCAGCAGUUGUUAGUUGUUGUUAGCGAUACCAGUUGUAAAUAAUGCAUAACACAGUAUUUUACUCUACUAACACCGUAGCACCGUGCUCACAGUUAGACGUUGGGCAGUACAACAUAUACCACUUAUUUAAUUUCACAAAAACAAAACAGAUGUGCUAAUAAAUAAGACAUUACGAGAACUUUUACUGUUACUCUUUCCGGUUGAUGCACUGCGCUGCCAUCUUGAAUUAUGACGUUGUCAUCAAGUCGGGGUUGGCAAGGAUCGUCCAACUUUCCAAGUUGGAAAUCCGACUUCAGGGGGGCGUUCCAGAUGAAUCUCCGACUCGGAACUCGGAAAUCUCAACUUCCAAGGACAACUAGAAUGCAGCAUAAAGCCCGCUGAUAGAUGAUUGUCCAAUACAUCUUGAGAUACAAAAGAAACCAGGACACAAUAUCCUGUAAGAAACAGAGACAAUACGGUGAUGCAAACAGAGUUUAUAAGUGUGUGUUUGGGAUUUCACAUACUGCAAGAAUAACUGUGCUGUUUCUCCUUGUGCUGUCUGGAUUCGAGAACUUUCAAGGCUCUGUAGUUUGAGGCUGGCCUCAGGAAGCCAGGUUCCUUGAGGUCAGAGAAACACUGAGUGCACAUGGAGGAUGUUGAUCACUACAAUGCUCAAUAAACAUGGCUGGUCAAAAAAAGAUACGGAGGGUAGUGUAAAGCUGCCAUGACGCAGAGUGAAACUGAGACGGCUCAUGAGUUCAGCUGAGAGCUCAGGUAAGAGAGUGCACGGAGGUUCACUAUUUGCAUUUAUGAAGUAGUUCCAUAUGGACGUAUGUGUGUGUGUUUGCAUGCCGCGUACAUCGGCUGUGCAUAUUUGUAUCCGUCCACUUGUCCAUCCUCUCUUAUAACUGGACAUUCGGUUCAUCUCUGAAGUCGUGGUGAACUCUGAGCCCCUGAUGCACUCUGAGCAGCUGGACCAAUUAUACAUAAUUAGCGAGGUGCAGCGGCUAGGCUAACAUAGAACCAGUAUUGACCCAGCCUGUCAUUUAGUGAGCACAAUGUGUGCUCCUGCAGCUGGUAAUGACUAUUCGGUGCCCUGGAAAUCCAGCUGGGCAGAUUGUGGGACAUGACCUUGUGUUCUCUCAUGUCAACUGGUAUAUGGGACCUACACACAUUACAACUGGGCACAGAAGGAACAGGAACAUGGCAGGAAAUCUUAUUUUGAGGCCUUCCAGGUAGAACUUUGUAUAAUUAUAUCCCUCUGAAUCUAUCCUGGCACCAUACUUUCUCGCUACUCCUGUGUUGUGUUAAUGCGUGCUCUCUUACUUGUGUUUACAUUGACUUGUCCUCGCAUUUAUCGCUGUGCUGGAUGAUGCAUGUGCCAGCAGAAGGGCAAAGAUACAAAACCGCCAAAGACGACCUUGUCCUUUUGGCUCAAUGCCACUUACUCCCUUCGCGUUCCUGAUUUUAACUUUUUCGUGCCUCAUGAGCAAAUUCCUCGUCUGCAGCCCAGCAGUUUGUGAUCCGUCUGAACUCAAAGAGGAGCUCCAGGAAAAGUGGUAGAACGUUCUCAUGUAUAAUUGCAGAGCAUUUAUGUGCAAUCAUAUCCAUUAAGAUUCUUUUUUGUCUAUGCCUGGGUUCACCUUAUAAGAGAGUUGUGUGGAAAUACUAGACUAUAUCUUUUUUUUUCUCACCCUGUGAACUCUGUGACUCUGUAAAAGGCCUUUGCUCUCAGUCACCCCAAUCUGGUUAAGUAGAAAGUAUUCUCUCAUGGAUGCAGUUGUUGCUUUAAAAAAUCUAAAUAGAUUCCCUCUUUGUGUUAUUCUUGCUCAUCCACCUUCACUGUCUAUUUUCUGAGUGUUGAGGAGGAUAUGAAUAUCAGGGAUCGUUGAACCCGAAUGCAGACAAAGUGUUAAAAUCAUGAACUUUGAGUUUGUGAAAAGGAUCUUUGUUCUCAGUCACUCUAGACAAGGAAGUUCUUCAAAAAAACUUUUCCCAUUAUUUCUACUUACGUAACUUGUCUGUUGGGCAAUUAGAGCCACAUUUAAGCUCCUGUGAGGGAUUUUUUAUGAGUUAUAACACAGACUGAAAACAGUAAUUAAUUAACAACUUUGAAUAUAAAUCUACUACAACUUCGUGACUGUGUUGAAAGGACGCCAUUCGCUGCAGUGGUGACUUUAGAUACGUCUUUCAGUCCCAAAGAGAGGAAAUUGUGUCAUGUCAAUCCUACAAAAGACACUUCUGUCCGUCAUAGUUGUCCAUCACAUCCAUGUCAGGAAGACAUGGAUGUUGUUAGCUAUGCCAUUUUAUUUGUCAAUGCUUGUGGCACUUUACGCGAGGGUGACCACAUUCUGAGGACACAACUACGCAGAGGUGGAGUCACGCAGUCGCAUCAAGUUAAUUUUGAGAGUUUUUCGGGUCGGAUCGAGUGUCUUUUACGCACUUCUAACUUAUUAAUUCCACGUGACACAAACUUGAAACUUCCAUACAAAACCCCAGACAAUUGAGGGAUUUUAUUAACUUAGCCAGACAAGGCCGAACAGACUGCCCCCCAGAAAAGGGGACAUGUCCGUGUAAAAAAGGAGGUAUGGUCACCCCACCUUAUGCUUUCACUGUCGUCUGACCUUGGCUUUCAAUACUUGGCAACAUACACUCACCGGCCACUUUAUUAGGUACACCUGUCCAACUGCUCGUUAACACUUAAUUUCUAAUCAGCCAAUCACAUGACGGCAACUUAGUGCAUUUAGGCAUGUAGACAUGGUCAAGACAAUCUCCUGCAGUUCAAACCGAGCAUCAGUAUGGGGAAGAAAGGUGAUUUGAGUGACUUUGAACGUGGCAUGGUUGUUGGUGCCAGAAGGGCUGGUCUGAGUAUUUCAGAAACUGCUGAUCUACUGGGGUUUUCACGCACAACCAUCUCUAGGGUUUACAGAGAAUGGUCCGAAAAAGAAAAAAUAUCCAGUGAGCGGCAGUUCUGUGGGCGGAAAUGCCUUGUUGAUGCCAGAGGUCAGAGGAGAAUGGCCAGACUGGUUCGAGCUGAUAGAAAGGCAACAGUGACUCAAAUAACCACCCGUUACAACCAAGGUAGGCAGAAGAGCUCUCUCUGAUUCCUCUGGACUGUUACUGUUACUGCAGACAUGAACAUCAGCCUCACUGUCAUUAUUGACAUACAAAAUAGAACUGACUACGAUUAAGCCUGCUAACUGUAAUCACACUCAAUUAAUUCAACAUUGUCCAUUAUUUCUCAUAUCCUAAACCUGUAAACUGAACGUCUUUUUGUUUCACCAUUACAUGAGCUGUUGUCGUUGUUGCUGUUGUUCCUGCUGCCUCCUGUCUCUCUCUCAUCACCCUCGUUCCCUACUCUCUCUCCCUCCCCCUCCCUCUCCGUACUAAUUCUCUCUCGCCUUUCCCCUAUCUUGCUGUCUCUCUCCCUCCCCCUGUCCUCUCCCCCUCUCCCCUCUUCUCUCUACAUUCCUCCCCAACCCAGCAGCGGCAUGGUGGCUGUCUAGCAUGAGUCUGGUCCUGCCCAAGGUUUCUGCCUGUUAAAAGGAAGUUUUUCCUUGCCACUGCUACUCAUGUUAGUUGAGAUGGGCCAAAACCCAUCUUAGGUUGGUUCUUGAUCAUCAAACAAUGAGCGUGGUCUCGACCUGCUCUUGUUCUUUGGAAAGCGUCUUGAGAUGACGACUGUUGUGAAUUGGCGCUAUAUAAAUAAAAUUUGAUUGAUUGAUUGAUUGAAGAGCAUCUCUGAACACACAGUACGUCGAACUUUGAGGCAGAUGGGCUACAGUAGCAGAAGACCACGCCGGGUGCCACUCCUUUCAGCUAAGAACAGGAAACUGAGGCUACAAUUUGCACAAGCUCAUCGAAAUUGGACAAUAGAAGAUUGGAAAAACGUUGCCUGGUCUGAUGAGUCUCGAUUUCUGCUGCGACAUUCGGAUGGUAGGGUCAGAAUUUGGCGUCAACAACAUGAAAGCAUGGAUCCAUCCUGCCUUGUAUCAACGGUUCAGGCUGGUGGUGGUGGUGUCAUGGUGUGGGGAAUAUUUUCUUGGCACUCUUUGGGCCCCUCGGUACCAAUUGAGCAUCGUUGCAACGCCACAGCCUACCUGAGUAUUGUUGCUGACCAUGUCCAUCCCUUUAUGACCACAAUGUACCCAACUUCUGAUGGCUACUUUCAGCAGGAUAAUGCGCCAUGUCAUAAAGCUGGAAUCAUCUCAGACUGGUUUCUUGAACAUGACAAUGAGUUCACUGUACUCAAAUGGCCUCCACAGUCACCAGAUCUCAAUCCAAUAGAGCAUCUUUGGGAUGUGGUGGAACGGGAGAUUCGCAUCAUGGAUGUGCAGCCGACAAAUCUGCGGCAACUGUGUGAUGCCAUCAUGUCAAUAUGGACCAAGCUCUCUGAGGAAUGCUUCCAGCACCUUGUUGAAUCUAUGCCACGAAGAAUUGAGGCAGUUCUGAAGGCAAAAGGGGGUCCAACCCGUUACUAGCAUGGUGUACCUAAUAAAGUGGCCGGUGAGUGUAGUUCACUUCUCCAUGUAACAUGAAUCCAUAAUGAAUCCGGUCAUGAAUGUUUAAAAUAUGCGGUUCACUAUCUGAAGACAGUAUCAAAUGUUUAUCGUCUGAUUGGAGGAAACUCGCUCGACAUCUUAUAAAACCUGGGAGAAGACAUCCACAAGAUUUUUACUCUUUAAGAAAUCAACAUCUCUUCAGUCCAAGAAGGUCACCGUGAAGUCCAAAUGUUGAGCUAUAAACCCAGUUCAGUAUCAAACAGUUCUGUUGACGUAUCUUCAAUAAAUUCGACUUCUGUAAAAUACAAGAUCUGUUUAAGUCACGCUCGUGCUCUCCUCCCCCAUCGGGUGACUUUUAUUGCUCACACGACCGUGAGGAGUUUAGUCAUCAGCACCUUUUAACUAAAAAUAGAAGACUGUUCCCCCAAGAUGGUUCACAAAUCGCUAAUGUUGCCGGAGCAGGUGUGCCUCCGUUUGUAAAGUACAGAGUAACACCAUACCUUCUUCGUCACAGACUAAUUCAAAUCUGUCCAUAAGCAAAGACUGUACAGAGAUUUUAAGACUCUGCAUGUUAUAGAUUUGUCUGAAGCCUUCGGCAGAUUUCAACAAAAGCUAUUAUUUACUCAGGAUAUUACUCGGUUGCAUAAUACACCCCUGACACAAACUGUCAAUAGAAAAUAUGAGACUUUCAUGUUCUCCAGUCACACCAAUUGAACAAACUUGGUUUACUGAAUGAUGUUUGGCAGGCACCUUACAGCAGCAGGAUGGGGUAAAGACUGGUGAUGCUGCCUCAAUGGGGGACCGGACUACAGGUGGUACGCAGGGAGCUAUAAAGGUGAGGAGACUGGCUGUGAACUGCAGGGGACAAGUUUUUGCAAGUGUGGGCCAAUUAGCUUUAGCAAAUGAGAAGCAAAGGUCUCAAGUUAGCAUGGUCUUAAAGCAGUCCCUUUGAUCGCUACGCUAUUGUACAAUAAUUGGAUGGAUCUUCAUAGAGAGAAUAUUUCAUGCUUAAUGAAAUAUGGAAAUAUUUGAGGAACCUUCAUUUAUGUUGCUCUUACCUUUUUACUUUUCUGUUCCAGUAUCUAAGUAAUGUUCCCUGAUGAAUGAUCUGACCUUUUUUUGUUGUAAUAGUCUGAUUCAUUACCUCUGCUCUGUCGAGGCAGGCUUUUAAGUACUUUAAGUGGAACAAGGUUAAUGCUGAUACUCCUUUUAUUCACUUGUCGGCGUGUGUGUUAGGAAGGUCUCAUCAGCAAAUCAGCAGUGUUAUUGCCCUAAAUUUGUCCUUAACCAGUAGCUUUGGUAACGCUUAAUCUAUGGCGAAAUAACAAGCGGCAACCUUUAAUCUUGAGGUAUAAGUUUGUUGAUGUGCAGUUCUGAGUGCUCUGUUGAGGCUGGCUGUAUAAAAACCAGAAACAUUGUAUGCAUGCCUUGUAAAAAUCAUUGCGUCUGAGGGCUCCCAUAGCACCUAAUGUACAGAGCAUGAACUUUUUUGUAACACAUUUGUCACAGACAUAGGGCCAAUUCCAAUUGUACCCCUUAGCCCUUGGUUUUGCAUGUUCAUGUCAAGCAAAGGGGCGUCCCAAUUCUCCGCAAGGCUAAGGGCAAGAGGUACACAGCCCUUGAAACAAAGACAAAUUAGGACCUCACUUGAAAGCAAGAGGUAAGAUUUUGAUAUUUUCAUUGUAAUGAUACUUGUGUUUUUAUCAGAUAUUCAAUCCUUUGCUACUCUGGGUAAAUAUUAGCAAUGUUUUGAAUUGUUUGCGUUUUAAAAUCACUCGUUAUGGCGAGCUAGCUAGUGAAGCUAUAGCUAUUGAUAACUACACUGAUGUCAGACUCGGGUGACAAAUUCACUGCAAACGGCAAGGCAUGAUGACGUAGUGGGAAUCGGGUGGCGUCGGGAAUUGGGGCACAUUUUCACGCCUUCCCUUUGGCCCUCAAAACGGAGGCAAGAAUGUGAGCGUCAUGUGGAGAUCCAUAGAUAAUGUAUUUUGGGCAUUGUUAUGAAUCACCAACAAUAACAGUAAAACAGCAAGGACAUGUAAAGGUACCAUCAGUUGGUUCCGUGCGCCAAAAAUACACCAAAGGGGGUAUUAUAUUAGACUGUAUUUAAAAUGAGUGCUGUAGUUGUAGGGGGUUAGAGUAACCCUGGUCUAUACUGGUUGCAGUGUAGACCAUAAAUCCUGUUUCUGUAUGCAAGUGUUAAUUUGUCUGAAAAGUUUAGUUUUAAUCAGUUGUUUUGUUUUGAAGAGAAAGGAUAUGACACUAUGACUGAUGGUCUUGUACGUCAUUAAGUGUUACCACGGUUACGUUGAGUCGGUUUGUUAUAUAUUAUAUUUGGGUUUGACUCUUUUUCUUAUGGGUUUAUAUAGACUUAAAUUCUGCUUUUGACGCACAUAGAAUACGAAAGGUCAUAUAUAAUAAAGAUCAGCUUCUUAAACCAAUAAUAGAGACUUUUAUUAGAGUAAUUGUGUUAGUCUAAUCAGAGUUUGCAUUGCUGUAAAAAAAAAAAAAAACCUCUCUGUAUGAAGAGUCCACAGAAGCAGCACUGUAACCUGAGUCAUCUCAUCUCUCAUUUAUUGAUAAAGCUCCUCCAUCAUAUCAGACCUGUAAUCAGAGCUCUUCAGAAUACAUUUGUUUAUAAUCACACAUGAUGUGGGCACUUGAAAGUAAAUUAACCCCGAAACUGCCCACUCAGGUCAAAAAAGGGGGCUUGAGAAAUCAAGCAAAUAUACAGUAGCUUUUACAAUCAACCACAUUUAUUUAUAGGAAAAGAUUGCCUUUUCCUCCAUGACGCAAGUUCUUUACAGAUUGGCCAUUGGAAAAGCUUGAACAGAUUUAAAAACGUACGCAUUUACCAGUUGUUCGGUGAAGGUCAUGAUGAUGUUUAUUUUUAUUUGAAUGGUUAGGAUCCUUUAAUCCCAUUGCACUUUAACUGAAUAUUGUCUUUUCCCUUGUUGUAGGUCUGUACAGUCGCCAACCACAGGCACUUUUCAUAUGUGGCGAAAGAAAUGGACUAAAAUGAACUUUCCCAGACCCGUUUUGUGGCGCCAGACUUCUGAUCCAUACUUUUGCAUCAAGUCUAUGCUGACGACACCCAUUUUUGUAUGAGUGUGUAUGCGGUUUCUGGGGCUUUUGGAGCUAGCCUCAAGUGGACACUCUUGGAACUGCAGUUUGUUGCACACUUUAAAAACCUUAAGUUGCCCCCUGGGAAAAAGAGAAAUCUUAGUUUGAUUAUCUACUCCCAAUCAGUUGAACAAAUUUCUGUCAUUUUUUUUAUAGUUUGGGCGGGUCACAGUGAAAUCAGGGCCCUGAGCCGAUUCAGAGCAAACUCCAGAAAGUAGUUUUCUUGUUUGCACCUGUUCAGAAUGGUAGACACCUGGACAACUUGACAUAUUUUCUUUUCAUUGCUGAGGUCAAGAUCUGUUCAUAGGAGUUUUCAAAGGAAACUUACUUAAUAACCGGUGCUCUAUCCAGAUUUCAUACUUAGAGUGUGAGCCCUGACAUUGUGCUUUCUAGUCAGACUAUACAAUGUGAGAACAUAAUGUGGUGUUUCCCGGUGAACAAAUCCACUGUUUAUGUAAGCUGAAACUCCACCAUGACAUCUCAGUGUUCUUAUAUGUAAGCCAAGGAGGUUUCAGCAUUCAGGUGGUUUCUACCUAUUUCGAGACGUCUUGUUUUCUUCCACUUUAUUAUUUUAUUAAUUCGUUGGACAUACUGGACAAUUGUGUCAUUUCUAACCUAGUUUUUUCCCCUUUUUCACAAGAUUUCUGGCAUCACAAUCUGCGUUUGGGUCAUCUAUACUGCCUUCCUGUUCCAUCACAAUACUUGAUGUGAUAUCUGUCAGAUAAAUUCAUGUCUUUUGAUUUUCCGCCUUUUUAAUUGUGACUAACCGACAUAAAGCAAUAGCCGUUUUAGCGCCUAAUGCCACAAUAAAUAAUCGGCAUGUAAAUUUGUUUUGGUCCAGCAAAUGUUUGGACUCUUCUCGGCUUCCAAAUGUUGUUAAAUAAAUCCCAUUCUGAUCCCGGUGCUGACUUCCUGUUUACAUUUCUGAUCGGACUCCAAAUGAGGACAAAAGUGUGAAAGCAGAUCUGCUCGAAUUGACACUCACAUACACACACAGAGGGAGAAGGAGAGAGAGAAGGAGAUCAGAGUCCAUUAGGAGCUAUCAUGUGUCCAACUUGAAGGCCACUGUACCAGCAUGAGGAGCAUGCCUGUGCAUGCUGUCUGUGUAAUUAUUGAAAAAGAACGUGCAUAUAUGCCUCAUUAGCCGAACAGUAGGAAUGUCCGUGCUGACCACUGAGCGCUAACACUCCCAGCAGCCGCCAGGAUUGGCUUCACACUGAGUCAGAAUGGGCGCCGGUUACACAGCCGGGAUGUAAACAAAAACAGAGAAAAUGGGCUGGACAGGCCAUGUGUGUGAUGUUGGUGUGCAUCCGCUUUACUUUAACUCAUCUGGUGUUAUGAAAUACUGCUGUAGUGAUUUGAGCAGCAGCACCAGCAGGGCUGUCAUGAGGAGGAUUGAAUGUGGAUGAAAAACGUGGCGUCACGACUUGAACAGGGUUACUGUAAGAUGGUUAAAAACCUCUUUUUUUCUAUACAGAGGUCUUUGUACUUCAUACCUUUUUAUAAUGACUCUACUUGGACUGCAUUCUCAUGGGUAUAUGACUUAAUUCUGGUAACAUCAAAACUUCAUUUUCAAACUCAAACAGUUUAGCGGCGCUACAACACACAGCAGGUCCCAUUUGACAAGAAACACUUCUGUUACAGACACUUGGCUUACUUUGUUAAAGCGGUUUACC